RNAcentral lists this ribosomal RNA (433 nucleotides) under uncultured bacterium. Its description in RNAcentral is "partial 16S ribosomal RNA". It matches the Rfam family "Bacterial small subunit ribosomal RNA", at positions 29 to 505 of the family's 1533-position model. The record is from RNAcentral.
AACGAACGCUGGCGGCAUGCCUAACACAUGCAAGUCGAACGAUUGCCUUCGGGUGAUAGUGGCGCACGGGUGCGUAACGCGUGGGAAUCUGCCCUUAGGUUCGGAAUAACAGCUGGAAACGGCUGCUAAUACCGGAUGAUAUCGCGAGAUCAAAGAUUUAUCGCCUGAGGAUGAGCCCGCGUUGGAUUAGGUAGUUGGUGGGGUAAAGGCCUACCAAGCCGACGAUCCAUAGCUGGUCUGAGAGGAUGAUCAGCCACACUGGGACUGAGACACGGCCCAGACUCCUACGGGAGGCAGCAGUGGGGAAUAUUGGACAAUGGGCGCAAGCCUGAUCCAGCAAUGCCGUGUGAGUGAUGAAGGCCCUAGGGUUGUAAAGCUCUUUUACCCGGGAAGAUAAUGACUGUACCGGGAGAAUAAGCCCCGGCUAACUCCG